Molecule: ribosomal RNA, 465 nt
Filed under: uncultured bacterium
Lineage: Bacteria
Description: partial 16S ribosomal RNA
Rfam family: Bacterial small subunit ribosomal RNA
Source: RNAcentral
GACGAACGCUGGCGGCGUGCUUAACACAUGCAAGUCGAACGGAAAGGCCCUGCUUGCCGGGUACUCGAGUGGCGAACGGGUGAGUAACACGUGGGUGAUCUGCCCUGCACUUCGGGAUAAGCCUGGGAAACUGGGUCUAAUACCGGAUAGGAGCCAUUUUUAGUGUGAUGGUUGGAAAGUUUUUUCGGUGUAGGAUGAGCUCGCGGCCUAUCAGCUUGUUGGUGGGGUAAUGGCCUACCAAGGCGGCGACGGGUAGCCGGCCUGAGAGGGUGGACGGCCACAUUGGGACUGAGAUACGGCCCAGACUCCGACGGGAGGCAGAGGUGGGGAAUAUUGCACAAUGGGCGCAAGCCUGAUGCAGCGACGCCGCGUGGGGGAUGACGGCCUUCGGGUUGUAAACUCCUUUCGCUAGGGACGAAGCUUUUUGUGACGGUACCUAGAUAAGAAGCACCGGCUAACUACGUG